AUUGAACGCUGGCGGCAUGCCUUACACAUGCAAGUCGAACGGCAGCACGGGAGCAAUCCUGGUGGCGAGUGGCGAACGGGUGAGUAAUAUAUCGGAACGUGCCCAGUCGUGGGGGAUAACGCAGCGAAAGCUGUGCUAAUACCGCAUACGAUCUCUGGAUGAAAGCGGGGGACCUGCAAGGGCCUCGCGCGAUUGGAGCGGCCGAUAUCAGAUUAGCUAGUUGGUGGGGUAAAGGCCUACCAAGGCGACGAUCUGUAGCUGGUCUGAGAGGACGACCAGCCACACUGGAACUGAGACACGGUCCAGACUCCUACGGGAGGCAGCAGUGGGGAAUUUUGGACAAUGGGCGCAAGCCUGAUCCAGCAAUGCCGCGUGCAGGAUGAAGGCCUUCGGGUUGUAAACUGCUUUUGUACGGAACGAAACGGUCUGCCUUAAUACGGUGGGCUAAUGACGGUACCGUAAGAAUAAGCACCGGCUAACUACGUGCCAGCAGCCGCGGUAAUACGUAGGGUGCGAGCGUUAAUCGGAAUUACUGGGCGUAAAGCGUGCGCAGGCGGUUAUAUAAGACAGAUGUGAAAUCCCCGGGCUCAACCUGGGACCUGCAUUUGUGACUGUAUAGCUAGAGUACGGUAGAGGGGGAUGGAAUUCCGCGUGUAGCAGUGAAAUGCGUAGAUAUGCGGAGGAACACCGAUGGCGAAGGCAAUCCCCUGGACCUGUACUGACGCUCAUGCACGAAAGCGUGGGGAGCAAACAGGAUUAGAUACCCUGGUAGUCCACGCCCUAAACGAUGUCAACUGGUUGUUGGGUCUUCACUGACUCAGUAACGAAGCUAACGCGUGAAGUUGACCGCCUGGGGAGUACGGCCGCAAGGUUA
This 874-nucleotide ribosomal RNA is filed under the name uncultured bacterium. Its description in RNAcentral is "bacterial SSU rRNA". It matches the Rfam family "Bacterial small subunit ribosomal RNA", at positions 28 to 896 of the family's 1533-position model. The record is from RNAcentral.